This 221-nucleotide ribosomal RNA is filed under the name Anopheles funestus (African malaria mosquito). Its description in RNAcentral is "eukaryotic small subunit ribosomal RNA". It matches the Rfam family "Eukaryotic small subunit ribosomal RNA", at positions 1282 to 1468 of the family's 1831-position model. Lineage: Eukaryota; Metazoa; Arthropoda; Insecta; Diptera; Culicidae. The record is from RNAcentral.
GCAUGUUUGAGUCACGUUCGUGGAAUGAUUUGUCUGGUUAAUUCCGAUAACGAACGUGACUCAAACAUGCUAACUAGAACGCUGUCAGCAGUGCGCCUCCGGGCGCACCUGACGUUACAGCCGGGCGGCGCCUUCACGGGCGGUCGUCGGCUACGUUUGCCCUGCUUAGCGGGACAACUUGUGUUUAGCAAGCUGAGAAUGAGCGAUAACAGGUCCGUGAU